AGAGUUGAUCCUGGCUUAGGACAAACGCUGGCGGCGUGCCUAACACAUGCAAGUCGAACGGACCCUUCGGGGUUAGUGGCAGACGGGUGAGUAACACGUAGGUAAUGUACCUUCUUGCUGGGAUACCUACCGAAAGGUGGUUAACUAACCGAAUGGUCUCAUACUGACGGCAUACGCGGUAUGAGUAAAGUGUUCAGCGCGAGAGGAAUCAGCCUGCGGGCCAGUCAGCUUGUUGGUGGGUAACGGCCUACCAAGGCAUCGACGGUUAGCCGGUCUGAGAGGAUGAUCGGCCACACUGGAACUGAGACACGGUCCAGACUCCUACGGGAGGCAGCAGUGGGGAAUAUUGGGCAAUGGGCGAAAGCCUGAACCCCAGCGGCGCCGCGUGAGGGAAGAAGGUCUUCGGAUUGUAAACCUCUUUCGGCAGGGAAGAAGGAAGUGACGGUACCUGCAGAAGAAGUCACGGCUAACUACGUGCCAGCCGCUGC
This 488-nucleotide ribosomal RNA is filed under the name uncultured bacterium. Its description in RNAcentral is "bacterial SSU rRNA". It matches the Rfam family "Bacterial small subunit ribosomal RNA", at positions 8 to 518 of the family's 1533-position model. The record is from RNAcentral.